GACGGACGCUGGCGGCGUGCUUAACACAUGCAAGUCGAACGGAAAGGCCCUGCUUUUGUGGGGUGCUCGAGUGGCGAACGGGUGAGUAACACGUGAGUAACCUGCCCUUGACUUUGGGAUAACUUCAGGAAACUGGGGCUAAUACCGGAUAGGAGCUCCUGCUGCAUGGUGGGGGUUGGAAAGUUUCGGCGGUUGGGGAUGGACUCGCGGCUUAUCAGCUUGUUGGUGGGGUAGUGGCUUACCAAGGCUUUGACGGGUAGCCGGCCUGAGAGGGUGACCGGCCACAUUGGGACUGAGAUACGGCCCAGACUCCUACGGGGGGCAGCAGUGGGGAAUAUUGCACAAUGGGCGGAAGCCUGAUGCAGCGACGCCGCGUGCGGGAUGACGGCCUUCGGGUUGUAAACCGCUUUCGCCUGUGACGAAGCGUGAGUGACGGUAAUGGGUAAAGAAGCACCGGCUAACUACGUGCCAGCCGCCGCCGUAA
Molecule: ribosomal RNA, 484 nt
Filed under: uncultured bacterium
Lineage: Bacteria
Description: partial 16S ribosomal RNA
Rfam family: Bacterial small subunit ribosomal RNA
Source: RNAcentral